GACGCGGUUGGAUGUUCUUUGCGAGGCUGCUGAGUCAGAAGCCCGGACGGGCCAGCUGCAGUCUUAAUGAACUGACUCAGGAAGGAAGUGCUUACAGAGAUGGUGUACCGUGCAGUCAGUGGGUGGGAGCAAAUGUCGGCUAGAAGACCUGAGCCUUGGGAAGGGGCGGCCUGAUUCCCGGGGAAGAGCAUUGGCUGGAAGUCUGGAGGCCUGGGCUGGUCUCUGCUCUGCCACUAACUUGCUGCAUGACUUUGAGCCAGAAAAAGAGGGAUCACUCACCCAUUCUCCGUCAGAUACUAAGCUGCUGACUGCCUCAAGGACGAACUUCUCUCCCUUGGCUUUCCAGGCUUGGCCAGAUAGGACCACCCUCUGAAGCAGGAACUAUUGUUACCGCUGCUUUAUAGACAAAGCGACCUAAGGAACCAAAAGGUUAGUUUACCCAAGAUCCCACAGCAGGGUAGUCUGUAAUGUCUGCUACCGAAUUCUGGCUAUUCCCACCCCCCAUAUCCGCCCCUCAGAAGGAUUGUUACACUUAAAGACCCCUAGUCAGGUUAGUGGCAUUGGUAUUUUCAAGCAAUUGUUUUAAAUGACCACGUUCUAUAUUUUUGUUGUUUUAAACGAUCACGUUCUAUGUUUUUGAAAGAUGCUAGCAACAAAGAGGACAUAUGGGUGGCAAAUGAGCACACACAAAGAUGUUCAACGUCAUUAGCCAUCAGGGAAAUACAAAUCAAAAUUCUAAUGAGAUAAUAUUACAGACCUAUUAAAUAAUACAGAUGGUAGCAAGUGCUAGCAAGGAUAAGAAGCAACUAGAACUCCUGGCCAGAGCUAUCUUUGGUGACAGAAGGCAGCACAGCGGUUACCUUUGUGAGAAGUAGAGGUGACUGAGAAGGGGGGUUUCAGAGGUAAAGGUCUACAUCUGGGUGAUGAUUCCGACGGGCGUGUUCACUUCAUGAAAAUUCAUUAAGCUUAUGAGCUGUGUGCUUUUCUGUCUGUAAAGGUUUAUUUAAGUAAAAAGUUUAUGGAAAAGUAAAUUAUUACAGGGGCACCUGGGUGGCUCAGUCGGUCAGGC
This 1069-nucleotide long non-coding RNA is filed under the name Felis catus (domestic cat). RNAcentral's name for it is "lncRNA (ENSFCAG00000046178.2)". Lineage: Eukaryota; Metazoa; Chordata; Mammalia; Carnivora; Felidae. The record is from RNAcentral.